AUACGGAGGAUCCAAGCGUUAUCCGGAUUUAUUGGGUUUAAAGGGUGCGCAGGCGGCCAUUUAAGUCAGCGGUUAAAUCGUGGGGCUCAACCCCAUUCUGCCGUUGAUACUGGGUGGCUUGAUUGCGGUCGAGGUUGGCGGAAUUCGUUGUGUAGCGGUGAAAUGCAUAGAUAUGACGAAGAACACCGAUUGCGUAGGCAGCUGACCAGACCGCAAAUGACGCUCAUGCACGAAAGUGCGGGGAUCGAACAGGUUUAGAUACCCUGGUAGUCCGCACAGUAAACGAUGAAUACUUGUUUUCGGCGAUAUAAUGUCGGAGGCAAAGCGAAAGCGAUAAGUAUUCCACCUGGGGAGUACGCCGGCAACGGUGAAACUCAAAUGAAUUGGCGGGG
This 392-nucleotide ribosomal RNA is filed under the name uncultured bacterium. RNAcentral describes it as "partial 16S ribosomal RNA". It matches the Rfam family "Bacterial small subunit ribosomal RNA", at positions 523 to 918 of the family's 1533-position model. The record is from RNAcentral.